AUUGAACGCUGGCGGCAGGCCUAACACAUGCAAGUCGAGCGGAUGAAGGGAGCUUGCUCCUGGAUUCAGCGGCGGACGGGUGAGUAAUGCCUAGGAAUCUGCCUGGUAGUGGGGGAUAACGUCCGGAAACGGGCGCUAAUACCGCAUACGUCCUGAGGGAGAAAGUGGGGGAUCUUCGGACCUCACGCUAUCAGAUGAGCCUAGGUCGGAUUAGCUAGUUGGUGGGGUAAAGGCCUACCAAGGCGACGAUCCGUAACUGGUCUGAGAGGAUGAUCAGUCACACUGGAACUAAGACACGGUCCAGACUCCUACGGGAGGCAGCAGUGGGGAAUAUUGGACAAAGGGCGAAAGCCUGAUCCAGCCAUGCCGCGUGUGUGAAGAAGGUCUUCGGAUUGUAAAGCACUUUAAGUUGGGAGGAAGGGCAGUAAGUUAAUACCUUGCUGUUUUGACGUUACCAACAGAAUAAGCACCGGCUAACUUCGUG
RNAcentral lists this ribosomal RNA (484 nucleotides) under uncultured bacterium. RNAcentral's name for it is "partial 16S ribosomal RNA". It matches the Rfam family "Bacterial small subunit ribosomal RNA", at positions 30 to 507 of the family's 1533-position model. The record is from RNAcentral.